RNAcentral lists this non-coding RNA (26 nucleotides) under Mus musculus (house mouse). The record is from RNAcentral. Lineage: Eukaryota; Metazoa; Chordata; Mammalia; Rodentia; Muridae.
UGGCUGGCACCUCUCCUCUGCAGGGU